UACGUAGGGUCCGAGCGUUGUCCGGAAUUACUGGGCGUAAAGAGCUCGUAGGUGGUUUGUCGCGUUGUUUCGUGAAAACUCACAGCUUAACUGUGGGCGUGCGGGCGAUACGGGCAGACUUGAGUACUGCAGGGGAGACUGGAAUUCCUGGUGUAGCGGUGGAAUGCGUAGAUAUCGGGAGGAACACCAGUGGCGAAGGCGGCUUUCUGGCCUGCUCUUGACGCUGAGGCGCGAAAGCUAGGGUAGCAAACGGG
Molecule: ribosomal RNA, 254 nt
Filed under: uncultured bacterium
Lineage: Bacteria
Description: partial 16S ribosomal RNA
Rfam family: Bacterial small subunit ribosomal RNA
Source: RNAcentral